AAAAGACAACAGGGAUGCCUCAGUAACGGCGAGCGAAGCGGCAAAAGCUCAAAUUUGAAAUCUGGCGCUUUCAGCGUCCGAGUUGUAAUUUGAAGAAGCAACUUUGGGGUUGGCCUUUGCACAUGUUCCUUGGAACAGGACAUCAUAGAGGGUGAGAAUCCCGUACAUGGUGAGGUGCCCAACCCUUUGUAAAGUGCUUUCCAAGAGUCGAGUUGUUUGGGAAUGCAGCUCUAAGUGGGUGGUAAAUUCCAUCUAAGGCUAAAUAUUGGCGAGAGACCGAUAGCGAACAAGUACAGUGAUGGAAAGAUGAAAAGAACUUUGAAAAGAGAGUGAAAUAGUACGUGAAAUUGUUGAAAGGGAAGGGCUUGAAAUCAGACUUGGCUUGUAGUGAUCAACUGUCUCUUGGGACUGUGCACUCGCUGCUUGCUAGGCCAACAUCGGUUUUGGCGGUAAGAUAAUGUCAGUUGAAUGUGGCUCAUUCGUGAGUGUUAUAGCUUCUGUCGAUAUUGCCAGCUGGGACCGAGGACUGCGCUUAUGCUAGGAUGUGCA
Molecule: ribosomal RNA, 549 nt
Filed under: Blastobotrys petasosporus
Lineage: Eukaryota; Fungi; Ascomycota; Dipodascomycetes; Dipodascales; Trichomonascaceae
Description: LSU rRNA
Rfam family: Eukaryotic large subunit ribosomal RNA
Source: RNAcentral